UGUUGGUGAUUAUAAUGAUUUGGUGUUUAGUAUUUAUUUUAAACUAUUUUUGAUUAUUGUAGAUUAGUUGCAAGAGGCGCCAAAAGAAACAAUUUCGCAGAUGUUUAUUGCAAUACGUCAUUGACCUUGCGAAAUAAUUGCAGGGUUAUCAUAAGUGGCAGAAUCAUGCACUAAAUGAUGGAAUUAAAUCUUAUAAUAUUGAGAAUUACGCUUCUUUGAUCGGAGAAAGAUGAAUUGUUUUUACUGCGACGAGUGACUUAAUGGCUGAAAUGCGUUACACAUCUAUGUCUCGUGAUCUUUCAAAUGAUUCGGUUUCCACUGUACGAAUCGCCCAAUAUGGAAACUUGAAUUAUCCGGAUAAAUAUUUUACUCAUGAUACACAUUCUCUAAAUGGCCCAUUGUUACCAAAUAAUGUAAAUAAUAUCGACAAAGUUUUUAAAGAGCGUAAAGAUCAUCGCGACAAAUUCAAGGCUUACAGAAAAUAUUCAGAGUUAACGCCUCUCUCUGCUCAAAAUGGCUACGAUAAUUUUGGCAAUUCGGUGAGUUGCAAGUCAAAUUCAUUACCAGGAAGAUGUAACAGCAAUUCAGCCUCGAUUAAAAAUUUAGUCGCCCUAAAUGUUCAACCAGAAGACUUGGCCUCUCAAUUAACUCUAUUAGAUCUAAGUAUUUUUAAAUCCAUUAGGCCAGAAGAAUUGUCGAGUUGCUCUUGGAAUAAAAAGAACAAACUAAUUGUCGCUCCAAAUGUCGUCUCAUUUACAAGAAGAUUUAAUCAUGUGAGUUUCUGGACUGUUCAAGAAAUACUAAAUGCUCCAACGCCAAAGCAAAGAGGAGAAAUCUUAGCUCACUUUAUACGAGUUGCGAAACGGCUUUAUGAGUUAAAUAAUCUGCAUUCCUUAUUUGCAAUAACAUCUGCUUUACAAAGUGCUUCAAUAUACAGAUUAAACAAAACUUGGGCGUGUAUUUCAAAGAAAGAUAAAGUGACUUUUGAUAAAUUAGCCGAAGUAUUUAGUGACAAAAAUAACUGGAUGAAUUUACGUGUUCAUAUGGAUUCAAUUAAAUUACCCUGUAUUCCUUAUUUGGGUUUAUUUCUCACGGAUCUCGUUUAUAUUGACAUGGCUCAUCCUACUUCAAGGAAUGGAGAUAAUUGUCAAAGAAUAUUAAAGUUCGAUGCAGUUUUAACGCGAGUCGCUAUAUUUCAAGCUAGUGAAUAUCCAGGAAUAAUUCCCCUUCCUGAUGUUCAACAAUAUGUGAAUAGUGUUCGUUAUAUUGAGGAAUUACAAAAAUUUUUAGAAGAUGACCAUUUUAAAUUAUCAAUGAAGCUGGAACCAAAUUCUCCAGUUCCAUCAUCAAGUAGCAGUAAGGAAUCUGUGGGUGAUGUAACAGGAGUUGCAGCUCUUUCCUUAUCACCAGCAAGAGGAUGCGCUGGAUCUCUUCGAUUACAUGCAGCUUCUGCUGCAACAAAAUUUGUACCUGGUCAUCGAAAAUGUAGGAGUCUUGGCACAAAAUUUCGUAGUACGAGUCUACCUCGCAACUUCCAUAAACAAGGAGGGAAAUAUGGAUCAAACAUGACAUCUUCUGGUAUUUUUGGAAAACCAACUGCUCUACCCUUGGAUCCAAGUCAAUUGACAGUUCGACAUCUUCUAGAUGAUUCCGUUUUGGAGGAACCACAUUUAUUAUCGCAAAUUCUUGAUUUGGAUCAAAAUUCCCCUGGAUCUCCCACAGAUGCUGUAAAUGAAGAUUGCAGCUUACUCUCGAGAACUAGCACACUUACAGUAUUACCGUGCGAAUUAGAUGGAUCUGCGGAACCUUGUUGUUCAAUGCAAGGUCUAUUAAGGAGAAAAGUUAUUUUACGAGACGGUAGAAAGCCAGCAGUUUCAACGUGGCAAAGAUAUUGGGUGCAAUUGUGGGCAUCUACGAUCGUUUACUUUUCCUCCAAAUGUUUUAAGGGAAAUGACAGAUGUGACUUCAAGAGAGAACCCUAUAAAAUGGUUUCGAUUUUUGGAUGGAUUGUGGAACCGUCAAAUAGUUGUAUUCAUCCCGAUACAUUUUUGUUGACAGAUCCUUUGAAAGGAAAUGUUUAUAAAUUUCGGGCUUCAUCGAGGGAGCUCGCGGAUCAAUGGCUGAAGGAAUUGCGGGCUACUGUUCGCGGUGCGACAGAAAAAAAGCCAAUACCAGUGAAUCUCAUGUCGUUCGAAACUUCAAUUAAUUUGGAAAAAAUUCACUGAUUAUUUUUCAAGAAAAUGGGAAAUACCGAGAGUAAUGUUGCAAGUGCUGUGAAAAAGCAAACAGAUACAUCAUCUAUUGUGCUUUACAAAUUAGUCGAUUUAAAAGGUGGUGGAUUAUUGGUGGACAUGAUGAAACGAGCAUCACAGACGAAGCAAUUUGCAGAAUUAGAUCACACAUUACGAACAAAAGUGGAACCUUUUUUGUACAAUAAAGGAAAAGGCAAAUGGAUUCCCG
Leptopilina boulardi is the source of this 2460-nucleotide RNA transcript. It is a transcript of the gene named ras-specific guanine nucleotide-releasing factor RalGPS2-like, with no coding region annotated. The transcript is spliced from 15 exons. NCBI's taxonomy places the organism in Eukaryota, Metazoa, Arthropoda, Insecta, Hymenoptera, Figitidae. The record is from RefSeq and is a predicted model, not a curated record.